This 160-nucleotide ribosomal RNA is filed under the name uncultured bacterium. RNAcentral's name for it is "partial 16S ribosomal RNA". It matches the Rfam family "Bacterial small subunit ribosomal RNA", at positions 355 to 532 of the family's 1533-position model. The record is from RNAcentral.
UGGGGAAUCUUGCGCAAUGGGCGAAAGCCUGACGCAGCCAUGCCGCGUGAAUGAUGAAGGUCUUAGGAUUGUAAAAUUCUUUCACCGGGGACGAUAAUGACGGUACCCGGAGAAGAAGCCCCGGCUAACUUCGUGCCAGCAGCCGCGGUAAUACGAAGGG